GUCCACGCUGUAAACGAUGAGAACUGGACGUUGGGAGGCUUGUCCUCUUAGUGUCGAAGCUAACGCGCUAAGUUCUCCGCCUGGGGAGUACGGCCGCAAGGUUAAAACUCAAAGGAAUUGACGGGGGCCCGCACAAGCGGUGGAGCAUGUGGUUUAAUUCGAUGCAACGCGAAAACCUUACCUACCCUUGACAUCCUCGGAAUCUUUCAGAGAUGAAGGAGUGCCUUUGGGAACCGAGAGACAGGUGAUGCAUGGCUGUCGU
RNAcentral lists this ribosomal RNA (262 nucleotides) under uncultured bacterium. RNAcentral's name for it is "partial 16S ribosomal RNA". It matches the Rfam family "Bacterial small subunit ribosomal RNA", at positions 793 to 1055 of the family's 1533-position model. The record is from RNAcentral.